GGGCGCGUAGCUCAGCGGGAGAGCGCUCGCCUCACACGCGAGAGGUCACAGGUUCAAUCCCUGUCGCGCCCA
This 72-nucleotide transfer RNA is filed under the name Actinomycetota bacterium. RNAcentral describes it as "tRNA-Val". It matches the Rfam family "tRNA". From Rfam's summary of the family: Transfer RNA (tRNA) molecules are approximately 80 nucleotides in length. Their secondary structure includes four short double-helical elements and three loops (D, anti-codon, and T loops). The record is from RNAcentral. Lineage: Bacteria; Bacillati; Actinomycetota.